ACAAAAAGAUAAUGUUAAGCAAUAUUUUGCAUGUGGUUAAUAAAUAUUCUUCAACAGCAAGCAGUGACACAUUCAAACUUAAAUCCAGUUAUUUCUUUUACAUUUUAGAAAAGUAAUAACUUUUUUCCAGUUAAAACAAGGUCACAAAUUACAGCACAUUAUCAUCCUCUUUAAUUAUUUAUAACUAUGAAACCUACUAAAUAAGUGAACUGUCACCCAGAAGAUUUUAUAUGACAUUGAUGUUCAAGGUUAAGUAUACUUACAUUUAUCAUGCAGUUUCUUACUGUGCAUAUUUGAUUGGUGUUUAAUUUCCUUUAAAAUUAUUGGUUCCGUUCUUCCCAUUUGCUUAUUUCUUGUUAAUAUACCAGAAGCAUGUAUUUUCAAACUCCUAUACAUUUUCACACCUAAGUGACUCACUAAAGUAGAUUUGUCAUAGAAUUAAUAAAUGCUCUCUGACUCCAGCCCAGCUGAGAAAUUGCUAACAAUGUCUGAAUCAGACUCCAUGUUACUUUCACUAGUUUUUAAGUCAAGUAUGUAACAAUAUUUAGUGUAAUCACUUCCAUUAAAAUUAAAGUGCCUUCAAAUGUUUCCUAAUAAAGUGACUAUUUGUAAGGGAGAGGGUGACUGGAUGCUGUAUAGGAACUGAUGUUUAACAGUUUAUAGAUACGGUGCAUAUGUAUGCUAAUAGAUGUAAAGUACUACAUUGCAUUCAGUGCUAAUUGUAGGCUACAGUAGCCUAUAAACUGAUAAAUUCAGCCAAAAUAAAUAUUUAAUAAAGAAUAUCAAAAGCAGUUGAUCAAAGCAAUACCUUGUUCCAUUCUGUUUUUCCAUCCAUCCUCAAGAACAUAGAUAGAUGGAUGAAGUACUCGAAAACAAAUAUAACACUUCAACCUGUUGAAGCUCAUCUUUUUGAAUAUCAGAUGAAUGAAAUCACUCAGUGUAAUCAUUAAAAAUCUUGAAUGCAUAAAGACACUCUCCAGGCCACCUGAUCAAGUGAAGUAUUCACAACAUUAUGUAAGGAAUUAAAAUUUGAAAGAAAAAUAUAACUUCUAAAACACCCAACAAUAAAAAUAUAUUCAUAUAUAUUUAUGUAGACACCAACACUAGAGGAAAAGUAUACAUCAUCUUGCAUAUUUUAAAACAUCCUCUAAAUUUCUUUUUGUGUUAUCACCUACUCCUAACUCAUGGCACUUUCGCAAUAUUCUUAAAAGGCAUUAAUAUAUACUAGGAAUGAAACAGACAUUAAGUCCUGUAUUUCAGUAUGGGUGGCUCUUCUUUUAAGGGCUUAUUUUCAUAGGUUAAAGAACUAAACCACCUCUAUCCAAAGGAGAACCCUGGCAUAGUCUCAGGUGUACUCCCCUUCUGUGAAAAAUCCUUACUGACUUCAGUGACGUAGAUAAAUAUUGUCAGGAUGUUAAUCACUGUUAGUUUAAAUUCAGUGCAAAUUUUGCCCUGAUCUCAGUCCAGCCCGCAAUGUUUAGCCUCUUCCAGUCAGAUGUAAUCACAGACUCCAAAACAGGAGUUCAAGGAUUCACCAGGACAGAUGUGAAUCUAGAAAAUUAAAUGGGUUUAAAAUAUUUUAAAACUUUUUAUGUGAUUAACAUCUGCCAUUCAUUGAAACAAACUUUUGAGCCUUUAGCUGCUACUACUAAAGGUCUAAAGUGAUAAAGUCCUUCACCGAGUCUCACGUGGCUGAUUUCAGAACAGAAUUAGAAGUUCUGAUUGUUAGGGAUUUUGGGUUAUCUACAGAAAUGUGGUGGAGGAGGUCUCCUAGACUAAAAAAAUCUAAAAACGAAGAGAAGAUAAUGUUAAAGGGAUACAACUUAGAGUUAUAUUGCAAACUGACAACAUUCUAGCAGAAGGUACAUUGUCACUGGGAAGAGGUGGAAGUAAUCCUAAAACUCUGCUUUCUAAAGAACCACUCCCUGUACUGGAGGCUGAAGUGUGAGCCAACUUUCAUAUAAAAUCACUUACCUACUUUAAUGCUUCAAAGUCUUCAAGAUAAAAACUUUAUAUAUGACAUAAAAUUAUACCACACUCAGAGAUUCUAUUUAGAUGUGUUUAGACAUUUGUACAUUUACCAUGCUCUGUGUUUUUUAAAUGAGGCUAUUUAACUUUCUGAGCUAAUUUUAAAAUGUCUUCUUCAUCUCCUUAAAACCCAUCAAAUUGCUUUCUAAAUUUUAGCAUUAUAUGUUUACCCAUAAUUGGGCAUAGACUGAUGAUAGCUUCAUAUCCAUACUGAAAUCAUUUUCCGCGAAUAUUUGUUGGGAAUGGAAAUGUUCAGAAGCAUAGGCUUCCUCUAUUUUGUGAAAGGCCAAGGCAAAAACUUGCACACAACUUAGCUUUCAGAAUAAGAAUGAGAGGUGUGGAGGGAAGAUGCUGAUUAUCUGUGCUUAAGUGAAAGUCACAGCUCUUGAGAAAAAAGUAGAAUUAACAAAGUUCUAUUUAAUUACUGAAGCUUCUUUCCCCUCUCCACCCUAGAUGUCCCUUAUGGCAGGAGGCACACAACACUGCAUGGUUUUCAGAAUGCAGUCAGCAGAAGCCUCUCAGUUUCAAAGGCACAACUCAUGUCCCUCAAGUUCAGCAGAAUUAUACAAGUAGUAUUUAAAUCUCCUAUGUUCUAAAAGUUACUUUCCCACAGCUCAUGGUAAUGAAAGCUCAGAACUGAAGCUGAUACAAAAAUACACAUUACCUCCCUCAAGGGCUUCUUCCUCAAUCAUCUCACAAUCUACUAAGAGUAACAAAUACAUUUGCUCCUUUGCUUUCCUCCUUUCCUCUCCCAUACGUCCCUACCUCUUCCCAUCUCCUUCUAGUUGCUUUCAUACAGAUAAUUUAUGGCCACCUCACUUCUGAAAAGUCUCACCACAUCAUAUGUUAUCUAUAAUCACUGGGAAGGGAGAGUAAUUCAGUAAGGCUCCUGUUUGGCGUCUGGUGAAGCUCUUUCAUGCUUCUUAACCUAGCAUAAUGCUCAGUU
This 2974-nucleotide long non-coding RNA is filed under the name Strigops habroptila (Kakapo). Its description in RNAcentral is "lncRNA (ENSSHBG00005011354.1)". Lineage: Eukaryota; Metazoa; Chordata; Aves; Psittaciformes; Psittacidae. The record is from RNAcentral.